This 318-nucleotide long non-coding RNA is filed under the name Cucumis sativus (cucumber). Its description in RNAcentral is "long non-coding RNA (CSAT_LNC003035)". The record is from RNAcentral. Lineage: Eukaryota; Viridiplantae; Streptophyta; Magnoliopsida; Cucurbitales; Cucurbitaceae.
CUCCUCCACAUCAUCGGUCAGAACCCUCUCUUCCGUUGAAACCAUCACCCGUCGUUGCCUCCACUCGCACAGCACCGCCGGACAUCAUCGUGCUUGACAGUGAAGGAUGCAAGCUGUGAAAGUUUUCUUUUUGCGAGCCACAUGUCCAAGUCGUGUUAGUUCGAGUCGUAUUCCUUCACCGAGCCUCGUGAGUCAUCUCUGUGGAUCCGAGCCGUUUCGUGUAAGCCAUACGCGAGCCACGCGCAACUGAGCCAUUCCUGUGUGAGUCGUAUGCCAGCCGUGAGUCUCAAGACUCGAGCUGAAGCGUUGUUAGUCGAG